CUUUUCGAUCGAUCCGAAAUAGCGGCAUCGACUCUUCGCGGACAAAAACUCGUUCGGCGAUUAUGGAUCCCCGCCUUCGCGGGGAUGACAUCGAAUGUUUGGCCGCAUUCAAUCUUCAGAUGCCAANNNNNNNNNNNNAACGCGUCCGAGGUGUGACGUGCUCCGCGCAAAUGCGCGAAGGCGAUGGAGCCUCGGGAGGCGCCGGGGUGCUUGCGAGACACCCGUAAGGCGAACCUUGCGAUCGGCCCGCCUGCGCAGUCUUGCGAGGACCGCGCGCGCCAAAUGACUUUGGCGCUGCGCCUCCC
Molecule: unclassified non-coding RNA, 305 nt
Filed under: Hevea brasiliensis (rubber tree)
Lineage: Eukaryota; Viridiplantae; Streptophyta; Magnoliopsida; Malpighiales; Euphorbiaceae
Source: RNAcentral